UACGGAGGAGGCAAGCGUUAUCCGGAAUUAUUGGGCGUAAAGCGUCCGUAGGUGGUGAUUCAAGUCAGCGGUUAAGGCGUGGGGCGUAACCUCAUACAGGCCGUUGAAACUGGAUUGCUAGAGUGCGGUAGGGAUCGAGGGAAUUCCCAGUGUAGCGGAGAAAUGCGUAGAUAUUGGGAAGAACACCGGUGGCGAAAGCGCUCGGCUGGGCUUGCACUGACACUGAGGGACGAAAGCUAGGGGAGCGAGUGGG
Molecule: ribosomal RNA, 253 nt
Filed under: uncultured bacterium
Lineage: Bacteria
Description: partial 16S ribosomal RNA
Rfam family: Bacterial small subunit ribosomal RNA
Source: RNAcentral